AAAGAGGCAGCGACAUCAGAAGCAGCAGCGGCCCAGGGACCAUGGCCGCCGGCAGGGAGGAUAUGUACCCCAUGUCGCCUUCGGGCCCUAGCCCCUACGAUACCCUCACUCCCAGUGCAUACGAGAGGGACGUCGAGUCCAUCACCCCAGAGGACACCACGGUCACCAACAGCCGCGAGCGCUUCGUGGUGAUGACAUUCAGCGCACUGCUACUUCUCAUCAGCGCCUCGCUGUUCGCCAUUCUCAUCACGCUGCUCUCAG
Dermacentor andersoni is the source of this 261-nucleotide non-coding RNA. NCBI's taxonomy places the organism in Eukaryota, Metazoa, Arthropoda, Arachnida, Ixodida, Ixodidae. The record is from RefSeq and is a predicted model, not a curated record.